This is a long non-coding RNA of Cucurbita maxima (winter squash), 350 nucleotides long. RefSeq lists it as uncharacterized. NCBI's taxonomy places the organism in Eukaryota, Viridiplantae, Streptophyta, Magnoliopsida, Cucurbitales, Cucurbitaceae. The transcript has 3 exons. The record is from RefSeq and is a predicted model, not a curated record.
AACGCCACCGCCAGUAAAGCUUUCAUCCUCUUCUUGCUCCACUUAUUUUCAUCUCCGCCGGUGGAAACUUCCUUCGCUGGUUUCGCCGGUUUAAUUUCUUCAGUUUUACAAAGACUUUUGCCGGUAAAUCUCCAUCUCUGCCGGUUGCCCUGCUUCGCCUUAACCGUGCUGUCCAACGAAUCGUUCCUAGUCAUUGUUUCUUCAGCCGAUCAGACGUUCGAACCAGUGGAUAAAGUUGAGACAAUGACGAGAAAUAUUUCACUUUAAAACAGCUAACUUCAAGGUGGGAUGUGGUUCGAGGACAAUCAAGAUGGAAGUCAGUGGACAUGUAAUGCUCGAGUAAAUGAGAG